This 1342-nucleotide ribosomal RNA is filed under the name uncultured bacterium. Its description in RNAcentral is "16S ribosomal RNA". It matches the Rfam family "Bacterial small subunit ribosomal RNA", at positions 28 to 1378 of the family's 1533-position model. The record is from RNAcentral.
GACGAACGCUGGCGGCGUGCUUAACACAUGCAAGUCGAACGGAAAGGCCCUGCUUUUGUGGGGUGCUCGAGUGGCGAACGGGUGAGUAACACGUGAGUAACCUGCCCUUGACUUUGGGAUAACUUCAGGAAACUGGGGCUAAUACCGGAUAGGAGCUCCUGCUGCAUGGUGGGGGUUGGAAAGUUUCGGCGGUUGGGGAUGGACUCGCGGCUUAUCAGCUUGUUGGUGGGGUAGUGGCUUACCAAGGCUUUGACGGGUAGCCGGCCUGAGAGGUGACCGGCCACAUUGGGACUGAGAUACGGCCCAGACUCCUACGGGAGGCAGCAGUGGGGAAUAUUGCACAAUGGGCGGAAGCCUGAUGCAGCAACGCCGCGUGCGGGAUGACGGCCUUCGGGUUGUAAACCGCUUUCGCCUGUGACGAAGCGUGAGUGACGGUAAUGGGUAAAGAAGCACCGGCUAACUACGUGCCAGCAGCCGCGGUGAUACGUAGGGUGCGAGCGUUGUCCGGAUUUAUUGGGCGUAAAGGGCUCGUAGGUGGUUGAUCGCGUCGGAAGUGUAAUCUUGGGGCUUAACCCUGAGCGUGCUUUCGAUACGGGUUGACUUGAGGAAGGUAGGGGAGAAUGGAAUUCCUGGUGGAGCGGUGGAAUGCGCAGAUAUCAGGAGGAACACCAGUGGCGAAGGCGGUUCUCUGGGCCUUUCCUGACGCUGAGGAGCGAAAGCGUGGGGAGCGAACAGGCUUAGAUACCCUGGUAGUCCACGCUGUAAACGGUGGGUACUAGGUGUGGGGUCCAUUCCACGGGUUCCGUGCCGUAGCUAACGCUUUAAGUACCCCGCCUGGGGAGUACGGCCGCAAGGCUAAAACUCAAAGGAAUUGACGGGGCCCCGCACAAGCGGCGGAGCAUGCGGAUUAAUUCGAUGCAACGCGUAGAACCUUACCUGGGUUUGACAUGGAUCGGGAGUGCUCAGAGAUGGGUGUGCCUCUUUUGGGGUCGGUUCACAGGUGGUGCAUGGCUGUCGUCAGCUCGUGUCGUGAGAUGUUGGGUUAAGUCCCGCAACGAGCGCAACCCUUGUUCACUGUUGCCAGCACGUUAUGGUGGGGACUCAGUGGAGACCGCCGGGGUCAACUCGGAGGAAGGUGGGGAUGACGUCAAGUCAUCAUGCCCCUUAUGUCCAGGGCUUCACGCAUGCUACAAUGGCUGGUACAGAGAGUGGCGAGCCUGUGAGGGUGAGCGAAUCUCGGAAAGCCGGUCUCAGUUCGGAUUGGGGUCUGCAACUCGACCUCAUGAAGUCGGAGUCGCUAGUAAUCGCAGAUCAGCAACGCUGCGAUGAAUACGUUCCCGGG